This 522-nucleotide ribosomal RNA is filed under the name uncultured bacterium. RNAcentral describes it as "bacterial SSU rRNA". The stretch from base 207 to 522 matches the Rfam family "Bacterial small subunit ribosomal RNA", at positions 1 to 622 of the family's 1533-position model. The record is from RNAcentral.
CACACCCGACACGGCUCACCUUUUCGCCCGUAAACCUGCAAUUCCUGAGCGAAAUAGCCCGGUUUACCAUCACUUUGCAGAAAAUCUUUCAGCGUUGUACCACCCUGCUCAAUCGAACGCAGCAACACCGCUUUAAUCACCCGAGCUAACAAUUCACACUCUGCCAGCGACAGUGAUGACGCCAGCCGAUCCGGAUGGAUCCCCGCCGCAAACAGUGAUUCGCUGGCAAACGUCGACGCGGCCGCGGCCGCGUCGACCGGCAAUGGGGGCAACCCUGACCGAGCAACGCCGCGUGAGUGAAGAAGGUUUUCGGAUCGUAAAGCUCUGUUGUAAGUCAAGAACGAGUGUGAGAGUGGAAAGUUCACACUGUGACGGUAGCUUACCAGAAAGGGACGGCUAACUACGUGCCAGCAGCCGCGGUAAUACGUAGGUCCCGAGCGUUGUCCGGAUUUAUUGGGCGUAAAGCGAGCGCAGGCGGUUUGAUAAGUCUGAAGUUAAAGGCUGUGGCUCAACCAUAGUUCG